RNAcentral lists this ribosomal RNA (547 nucleotides) under Bacillus sp. (in: firmicutes). RNAcentral's name for it is "bacterial SSU rRNA". It matches the Rfam family "Bacterial small subunit ribosomal RNA", at positions 380 to 919 of the family's 1533-position model. Lineage: Bacteria; Bacillati; Bacillota; Bacilli; Caryophanales; Bacillaceae. The record is from RNAcentral.
AGUCUGACGGAGCACGCCGCGUGAGUGAUGAAGGUUUUCGGAUCGUAAAGCUCAGUUGUUAGGGAAGAACAAGUGCGAGAGUAACUGCUCGCACCUUGACGGUACCUAACCAGAAAGCCACGGCUAACUACGUGCCAGCAGCCGCGGUAAUACGUAGGUGGCAAGCGUUGUCCGGAAUUAUUGGGCGUAAAGGGCUCGCAGGCGGUUUCUUAAGUCUGAUGUGAAAGCCCCCGGCUCAACCGGGGAGGGUCAUUGGAAACUGGGAAACUUGAGUGCAGAAGAGGAGAGUGGAAUUCCACGUGUAGCGGUGAAAUGCGUAGAGAUGUGGAGGAACACCAGUGGCGAAGGCGACUCUCUGGUCUGUAACUGACGCUGAGGAGCGAAAGCGUGGGGAGCGAACAGGAUUAGAUACCCUGGUAGUCCACGCCGUAAACGAUGAGUGCUAAGUGUUAGGGGGUUUCCGCCCCUUAGUGCUGCAGCUAACGCAUUAAGCACUCCGCCUGGGGAGUACGGUCGCAAGACUGAAACUCAAAGGAAUUGACGGGGA